GGGUGUGAUUACAGUUGUGCUCUGCAAAGGCAUGGUAGAUCUUUGGUGGUCCACAUCUU
This 59-nucleotide transfer RNA is filed under the name Clonorchis sinensis. Its description in RNAcentral is "tRNA-Cys". The record is from RNAcentral. Lineage: Eukaryota; Metazoa; Platyhelminthes; Trematoda; Opisthorchiida; Opisthorchiidae.